RNAcentral lists this ribosomal RNA (663 nucleotides) under Triticum aestivum (bread wheat). Its description in RNAcentral is "partial small subunit ribosomal RNA". Lineage: Eukaryota; Viridiplantae; Streptophyta; Magnoliopsida; Poales; Poaceae. The record is from RNAcentral.
AUGGCCGAGGCGGCGGCGAGCACAAGGAAACUGUACGGCUACGAGCUGUCGUCCAACUCGGUGCGCAUCGCGGCGCUGCUCAACGAGAAGGGGCUCGACUACGAGCUCGUCGUCGUCGACGACACCAAGGCGCCGGAGUUCCUCGCCAUCAACCCCUUGGGUCAGGUCCCGGCGUUCCAGGACGGCGACGACAUCCUCUUCGAGUCUCGCGCCAUAAGUAGGUACAUCGCGGCCAAGUACCGGUCAACGGGCACGGACCUGCUGCCGGCGGCGCCGUCGGCGAAGCUGGAGGUGUGGCUAGAGGUGGAGUCGCACCACUUCUACCCGGCCGUGGCGGACCUGGUGUACGAGCUCCGCGUCAGGCCCCGGCUGCCGGGCGGCGCGCCGCCCGACCCGGCCGUCGUGGACGGGCUCGCCCGCAAGGUGGCCGACGUGCUCGACGUCUACGACGCGCACCUCGGCGCGGGGAACAGGUACCUCGCCGGCGAUCAGUUCACGCUCGCCGACGUGAACCACAUGGCGCAGCUGUUCGUCAUGAGCCUGACGCCCCGGGCGGCGGAGCUGGUCGCGGCCAGGCCGCACGUGCAGGCGUGGUGGGACGAGAUAUCCGCCCGCCCCGCCUGGAAGAAGACCGUCGCCGCGCUCCCGCUCCCGCCGGCUUGA